RNAcentral lists this ribosomal RNA (497 nucleotides) under uncultured bacterium. Its description in RNAcentral is "partial 16S ribosomal RNA". It matches the Rfam family "Bacterial small subunit ribosomal RNA", at positions 28 to 507 of the family's 1533-position model. The record is from RNAcentral.
GAUGAACGCUGGCGGCGUGCCUAAUACAUGCAAGUCGAGCGAACAGACGAGGAGCUUGCUCCUCUGACGUUAGCGGCGGACGGGUGAGUAACACGUGGAUAACCUACCUAUAAGACUGGGAUAAUUUCGGGAAACCGGAGCCAAUACCGGAUAAUAUAUUCAACCGCAUGGUUCAAUAGUGAAAGACGGUUUUGCUGUCACUUAUAGAUGGAUCCGCGCCGCAUUAGCUAGUUGGUAAGGUAACGGCUUACCAAGGCAACGAUGCGUAGCCGACCUGAGAGGGUGAUCGGCCACACUGGAACUGAGACACGGUCCAGACUCCUACGGGAGGCAGCAGUAGGGAAUCUUCCGCAAUGGGCGAAAGCCUGACGGAGCAACGCCGCGUGAGUGAUGAAGGUCUUCGGAUCGUAAAACUCUUUUAUUAGGGAAGAACAAAUGUGUAAGUAACUAUGCACGUCUUGACGGUACCUAAUCAGAAAGCCACGGCUAACUACGUG